This 253-nucleotide ribosomal RNA is filed under the name uncultured bacterium. Its description in RNAcentral is "partial 16S ribosomal RNA". It matches the Rfam family "Bacterial small subunit ribosomal RNA", at positions 524 to 776 of the family's 1533-position model. The record is from RNAcentral.
UACGGGGGGAGCAAGCGUUGUUCGGAUUUACUGGGCGUAAAGGGCGCGUAGGCGGUAGCACAAGUCAGUUGUGAAAUCUCCGGGCUUAACUCGGAAAGGUCAACUGAUACUGUGCGACUAGAGUGCAGAAGGGGCAACUGGAAUUCUCGGUGUAGCGGUGAAAUUCGUAGAUAUCGAGAGGAACACCUGCGGCGAAGGCGGGUUGCUGGGCUGACACUGACGCUGAUGCGCGAAAGCCAGGGGAGCGAACAGG